GACGAACGCUGGCGGCGUGCUUAACACAUGCAAGUCACGGGGGUCUCGGGGCAACUCGGGAUAACCGGCGAACGGGUGCGUAACACGUAAGCGACCUGCCGAUUCGCGGGGGAUAGCCGGCCCAACGGCCGGGUAAUACCGCAUACGCUUGCUGGGUUUCAUGGCCGGGCAAGGAAACCUCCGGGGAACCGGGGUGGGGCGGAUCGAGGGGCUUGCGGCCUAUCAGCUAGUUGGUGAGGUAACGGCUCACCAAGGCGGUGGCGGGUAGCUGGUCUGAGAGGAUGGCCAGCCACAUUGGGACUGAGAGACGGCCCAGACUCCUACGGGAGGCAGCAGUGGGGAAUAUUGGGCAAUGGGCGCAAGCCUGACCCAGCCAUGCCGCGUGAGUGAUGAAGG
This 396-nucleotide ribosomal RNA is filed under the name uncultured bacterium. Its description in RNAcentral is "bacterial SSU rRNA". It matches the Rfam family "Bacterial small subunit ribosomal RNA", at positions 28 to 414 of the family's 1533-position model. The record is from RNAcentral.